Long non-coding RNA from Neofelis nebulosa (Clouded leopard), 892 nucleotides. RefSeq lists it as uncharacterized. The transcript has 4 exons. Lineage: Eukaryota; Metazoa; Chordata; Mammalia; Carnivora; Felidae. The record is from RefSeq and is a predicted model, not a curated record.
UUAUUCCAUAAAAAGAAUUGGAUCAUUUUCCUUUAUUUUCAGUGUUCUGGAACUUAUUGUGGAAUGUUGGUACUAUCUGGUCAUUAAAUAUUUUGCAGAACUCCCCUGUGAAACCAUCAGGGCCUGGUGUUUAUUUUGUUUGUAGCAAUUUCUUAUUUGCUUUUUUUCUUCUAUGGAAAUUGGUCUGUUUACCUCUUCUAUCACUAAUGGAAUCAUUUUCAUAGACUCACUUUUUUGGCACUGCAGUCCUCUCCAAGUUAACUUUGUAUAUUUAUUGGAAAAUGGAGAAGAUACUGGAAAUCAAGAUGUAGGCACUGGGUGUACUCAUUGCUACUGAGAGUCAUUGCUUCUAGACCCUCUCAGCUGACAGAACAGGGAAAUAUGUGUGUGUACUAACCUCUUCCCAGGCAGCUCAUGUGGAGCAGUGCCAGCCACCAGAGCCAUAGGAUGCUGACCUCUGUGUCCAGUGCCAAGCAGGGGACUUCAGAUGGAGGCAGAGCUACAACACUACACAGAGAUGGACAACAUGGAAGCUGGCAGAGCUGUUUGGAUGUAGAGCACAUGGGCUGUGGGCUGCUAGAGAAAGAAGGGCCCAGGGUUCCUAAACAAAAAGGAAUGAAAAUUAGGACUUCCGUAUCCAGCCAAAGCCCCAGCAUUUGUCUUAUAAUUUCUAUCUGCUUUUCAAGGGUGCUUCUUAUUUCUGUCAAACUGUGCUAAUUGUGGGGGAAGAGUCACCACUUACCUAUUGACCAUUAGAGAUGGCCUCCAAGAUGGAAUCAAAGUUUUUACCUUCCCUUAUCUUUGGAAAAUCUCUGUAAUCUGAUUUAGAGAAAGCAGCUAUACCUUUCAUGUUAUCAAAAUUGAAUUAUGAUCAUCAAUAAAGUUAUUUCAA